RNAcentral lists this ribosomal RNA (446 nucleotides) under uncultured Bacillus sp. RNAcentral describes it as "bacterial SSU rRNA". It matches the Rfam family "Bacterial small subunit ribosomal RNA", at positions 1085 to 1532 of the family's 1533-position model. Lineage: Bacteria; Bacillati; Bacillota; Bacilli; Caryophanales; Bacillaceae. The record is from RNAcentral.
UCCCGCAACGAGCGCAACCCUGAUCUUUAGUUGCCAUCAUUUAGUUGGGCACUCUAAGGUGACUGCCGGUGACAAACCGGAGGAAGGUGGGGAUGACGUCAAAUCAUCAUGCCCCUUAUGACCUGGGCUACACACGUGCUACAAUGGACGGUACAAACGGUUGCCAACCCGCGAGGGGGAGCUAAUCCGAUAAAGCCGUUCUCAGUUCGGAUUGUAGGCUGCAACUCGCCUACAUGAAGCCGGAAUCGCUAGUAAUCGCGGAUCAGCAUGCCGCGGUGAAUACGUUCCCGGGCCUUGUACACACCGCCCGUCACACCACGAGAGUUUGUAACACCCGAAGUCGGUGGGGUAACCUUUUGGAGCCAGCCGCCGAAGGUGGGACAGAUGAUUGGGGUGAAGUCGUAACAAGGUAGCCGUAUCGGAAGGUGCGGUUGGAACACCUCCUU